Molecule: unclassified non-coding RNA, 1091 nt
Filed under: Hevea brasiliensis (rubber tree)
Lineage: Eukaryota; Viridiplantae; Streptophyta; Magnoliopsida; Malpighiales; Euphorbiaceae
Source: RNAcentral
AAAAAAAAAUAAAGGGUGAAUCACAUUUCCCACUGAUGUUUUUCAUGUAUUUUACUCAUAAAAAACAACCUAAUUUAAAAAAAAAGGGGGGGGAUUAGUAGCAAUGCAGAUAAAUGCAAAUGUUGUAAACAAAUGCAGCUGCUAAAUCUGAGAAGAGUCACCAAAGACCACUAAACAAGGCGCAGCCCCAAAAGGAGAUUGAAUAUAUUCCUCAGUUCGCAGUACUAUCGUAUAAACUACUUGCUUUCAAGCUAAAAAUCCACAUUGCACUACCUGAGAUUAUGACCACCAAAGCAGUAAAAAAAGGUUACAUAUCGGAAUAUAUUUACAGUUAAUAAACCACAAUCAACAGUAACACAUCUCCAUAGACAUUUACAGUUAAUGAUUUUCUGACAUGUGAAAAAUGUCGAUGUUAAAUGUCAAUACAGAGGUUACAUACACCGUAUGAUGGAUUUUAAUGAUUAUCUGUUAACCAAAGAAUCAUGAUAAUCGUGGUCUAGUAUCAUAUUGGAAGCCUAGAAAACCACAUCAUUAUCUCACUCUUAGUCAGAAAAUUAAAAACAUGAUGUUCAGUAUUCCUUCAUUGACUAGGUAAUUCGGCUUGUCUUGGUCGUUGCCCCACAUACAUAGAAAACGAAAAGUUCUGGAGUCAAAGGGCAUGGCACCCUAAUUCCAUUUCACAUACUUGAUGCAACCCUGCUAAACUCACCACAGUAGAUGCUUAAAACAACAAAAUACAUUUGUCCAAUAACCUCUACACUCAUAAAAAUUAAAUAACUCCACUCUGAUGGCAGAAGCAAAUCCAGCAUUACAAAGUCAGUACUUAUUCGACAAAGACCAUUACCAAGUAAAGAAACUAACCAUUCUCUCAUUUCCGCCAAAAUCAAAUACAUUACAACCAUAACUAUACAAGAACAAAACCAAUUACGGCACCCAUUACCAAAUUUGAACUGCAAACAGUUUAGUUGUAGGGAAUUCAUCUUCACGUAUGAGAAUCCUAACACAUUUCAUGCGGAUAAAUGAUUAUAUCGCAAUUUUCACGAAACCGAUCAAGUAAAUACGCAUACCCGUCGCUUUCCGGCUUCAAGAUG